CUGUUCAGGUCCCUGCUUGCUUGGACUGCCUCUGUGAUGCUUGUUAUGUGAGGUCAGGAGAGCAAAGGCUGAAGCCACAGGAAGCAGAUUGCGGAGUUCCUGCUGUGCGGAGCCAGGGAGGGUGUGGCGCCCAGCUGAGCAACCUGGACUCACCCCUGCGUGGCAAAAGGCUUAUCCAUGGCCUAUGCCCAUUCUUUCGUCAGGUUCCGGAACCGUAAGGUCCCACUGCGUAAACGGGGAAACUGAGGCACCGUGCAGAUUCGGCAGCACUUGCCAGAACCCCAGGCAGAGCCAAGACGCACGCAUCUGUUUUCCCUAGGUGUUUUGUUCCCUGGAGAGGCCGAGCGGGGACCUUGCAAGCCUGGAGGAAUCCACCCACGGAGAGUUGCCGAGCACCCACAAAGCCGCACACCUGCUCUGGUGGGCGGGCGACCCCACCCUCGGAAAGCUCCGGACUGGGAGCUGAACAAUCCGAGGUGUCUACAAGUUCCACUGCGGGGACGAGCGCCUGAGUCACUGGAGGUGCUCGCAGCCCCCUCGGUGGCUCCUCCCACCCAGGCCCUGGCCCCGCCUCCUCCCGGCUGCAUCCUUCCCGGACCUCAUCCAGGCAGCCUUCUGCAGCGCCACAGCCAGUGAGGACGCUUCUCGGCAGAGCGAGAGAGGAGGGGCAUUGGAACAGGGAGCGGUGAGGGCUGAGUCCUGGGAGGCUGCUGCCGAGAGGACUCCGUUCCCUACUGUCCCGUGGGACCGCAAGCCACGCCUCCCGUCGACGUGCCCCGUGGCGCGUGCAGCCUGCCUGUGCUGGGCGGCAUGGGUUCUUCCGGAACGUUUCCAGCUCCGCAGGCUGGCCUCUCCGGGCACAAGAAGCCAAACCGUCAGAGCUGGCAGGCCAUGGAAGCACCUUCCCUCCACCUGUCACCCAGCCCCUUCCGAAAACGGUUCCACAGUAGGACACACUUUGGGUGUUCGUGGGCAGUCGCUACGUGAGUGAGGAAGAAUGAUGUCAGAAGGAAGUGUCUGCAGAGAUCGAAGGGGCUGUGACUUUCUGCAGGAACGGCCGCCAGCUGCCCGGGAGCUUGCGUAGAACAAAAACGCCCGUCCCUUCAUCACCUGCCCUUGCCCUUGAAAACACAGAAGGGAAUGGUGGCAGGAUUUACGGGAGCAAUGAAAGGCCAGCCCCACCCUUGGCCUCUUCUCAUGACUCAUGUGUCCAGGCAUUCACAGUAAGACAAUUCAACUCAACCAGGACACUGGCAGGAACGGAGAGGGUCACAAGACCCUCCCCUGAGAAUCGGCUGCCCCUUCCCACUGUGUGUGCGACACUGCCUUACUUGCGUGUGGCUUCAGGGAAGGACUGCAUUACACAGGUCUGAGAGGAGCAGGAAGGGAGGCUCCUUCUACGAAGCGAUGGGGAAGCCACCAUCCCUGGCAGCAACCCAAUAGAAGGAAGCAGAAAGCAAUUAAGAAAAACCGAAGCCAGCAGCAUCGCACAUCGACAAGGAGGAUGGACAUGAGCACGCUGUAUGGAGUCUACGGGACCACCUGGGGGCAAUGGAGAGUUGUCCGGGGGCUGUGAAAAUGCGCCUCUGUGGCUCAGCGACCCACCAGUUCCCUGGAGAAGCAUGCUGAGGUAAGAGGCGCCCUGUGUGCAGAGAAGACAGGACCAGAGGAUUCGUGUCUGCCCCACUGGGCUCCUGGGGAGGAUGGAGUGAGGGAUGCCGCUGACCUGCCCUUUAUAUGGUGUUCUAUUUCAUGUUCACUUUAAGACUGUUUCUCUCUAUCACACAGAUAGUGAAAGCUAAAUUUUAAACUAAAGAACAGAGAGCUGAGCCCUCACGACAGAAGAAAUUUAAGACAAUGUAGGCAAGUCCUGUCACCACCACUGUGGUCAGUGUCAGAUUUAAAGGCACCUGUCUGUGGACCAUAACUAGCCAUGUUCGUCCUGCUCUGUCCUGUGGUGGUGGGUGAGGGGUAGGCAGAGAGGACAGAGAGUUUGGGGUGAAUGGAAUAACUUCUUCAGGAAAAGCAAGGGGGAGAAGCUUUCCUGUGUUAGCCUUCUUGCAGAGACGACGUUUCUCAUUUGCCGGUGCUGCGCUGACCAUCCAUCCGUCCACACAAAGCGGUCAGAGAGCCAGCACCAACCUGAGCAAGAUCAAAGGGACCGGCCCCAGUCCUGGGGGAGGGGCCUUCUCACAGAGAAAAGAAGGUGAGAGAAGCUGACUGGUCUGAAAAUUGUUCUUUAAUGGUUUGAUUUCACCCUCCUCUUGUUACCUGGUAACACACAUCUUCCUGUAAAUCUCCAGCUCCAGCUUCAUGCAGCUUGGCAGCUCAAUUUCCUCCCAGCCUCCUGGUGACACAACAGGUCCUGCGGUCACCUAUCUAAGGAAGGCACACAGGGGCCUUUAAGACUGCAGCCCAGGUCUCACCACCCUUCUCUGGGGAAGAUUUUCAGCCCUGGGAGGGUGGCUUUGUUUCUCCUGUCACCCCUGCCUACUGUCACCCCAGCUCGGAGGCCAUUCUGGAAUUGAUUGCUCCUGCUUUGGGUGGAGGUUAGCUAUCUCUGAAACAAUUGACCACUCAGUCAAGGAGACUUCCCUGAAAUGACAGUGAUCUUGGAUGUGCACAGCAUAAAGGAACAAUAAUCAUAA
This is a long non-coding RNA of Psammomys obesus (fat sand rat), 2648 nucleotides long. RefSeq lists it as uncharacterized. The record is from RefSeq and is a predicted model, not a curated record. NCBI's taxonomy places the organism in Eukaryota, Metazoa, Chordata, Mammalia, Rodentia, Muridae. The transcript is spliced from 3 exons.